GUUGAGCAUGGUGGCAGAUGCCUGUAAUCUCAGUGACAUGGGAGGCCGAGGAAGGAGGAUCACUUAAGUGUGAAGUCCGCCUGGGUAAUUUAAUAGUGAGACCCUUUCUCAA
This 112-nucleotide small RNA is filed under the name Marmota monax (woodchuck). Lineage: Eukaryota; Metazoa; Chordata; Mammalia; Rodentia; Sciuridae. The record is from RNAcentral.